GAAAGCGUGGGGAGCAAACAGGAUUAAAUACCCUGGUAUUCCACGCCGUAAACAAUGAUUGCUAAUUGUUAGAGGUUUUCCGCCCUUUAUUGCUGCAUCUAACGCUUUAACCUCUCCGCCUGGGGAGUACGGUCGCAAGACUGAAACUCAAAGGAUUUGACGGGAGCCCGCACAAGCGGUGAAUCAUGUGGUUUAUUUCAAAGCACCGCGAAAAACCUUACCAGGUCUUGACUUCCUCUGACAACUCUAGAGAUAGAGCGUUCCCCUUCGAGGGAC
This 276-nucleotide ribosomal RNA is filed under the name Priestia megaterium. Its description in RNAcentral is "Bacillus megaterium partial 16S ribosomal RNA". It matches the Rfam family "Bacterial small subunit ribosomal RNA", at positions 755 to 1027 of the family's 1533-position model. Lineage: Bacteria; Bacillati; Bacillota; Bacilli; Caryophanales; Bacillaceae. The record is from RNAcentral.